This 783-nucleotide long non-coding RNA is filed under the name Equus asinus (donkey). RNAcentral's name for it is "lncRNA (ENSEASG00005032914.1)". The record is from RNAcentral. Lineage: Eukaryota; Metazoa; Chordata; Mammalia; Perissodactyla; Equidae.
GCCCUUGUCCUCCCAUCUCGCCGUUGCUCCUGGGCGCGAUGGAGUCUGAGCCUGACAUCUACACGGAACUGGAUACACGGUCCCUGUCAGCCACUUCUUCCCUUGUGCUCAGUGGACUGUUUAUAACGGCCGUGUUUGACUGUUAAGCUCUGUGUGGGUAGGAGUUGGGAACUGAUUAUUUAAUAUACAUUCCAAGGACCUUCUAUAUUCCUAUAGAAUCUUUGGCAACUGAUUUACUAUGAGACGUUUACUCAAGAUUUUCAUCUUCUGUAAUUUACACCAGUUCUCUAAACAGUGGAUUUUGUCUUCUGAGGGAAGCAGAAAGUGAAUGAAUGGCUUUCAGCAAUUGCUUAAGAAAAUGACUCAACUGAGAAGCAACAGUCUUCAGAGUGGAGCCAAUGCUGUGUUUGCCGUGGUAGAAGCAGUCUCCCAGAGUUUGAAGAGGUAGACAUCAAUUACAGCAUCAGUUAAUUACAGCUCAGUUACAGACCAUAGCAGAAGAGAGUAGUUGCACUCUCAAACAGGAAGUGCAACUACUUUAAUGCUCCAGCAAAAGAAAGGAAGAUUUCCUUCUUGCCCAGCAACAAGCCCAGCCAAUGGAAAAUGCUGCAGCUUAGCCAAUGAGAAGUUGUUGUCACCUGAACUUUUAUUUUCCUCUAAUGGACUUUCAUUGUUUCCCUGCUGAUAUCUUCCUUUCCUUGUCCUGGUCUCCUUACCAUAAGAGUCUUCCAUGUUGUAUAACACCUUGGAGUGUCUCUUUGCGUACCACAAGUGUUACUGCUU